GGAUAACAGUGGAUCCUCAGUUGAAAAGUAGUUUCAAGAUAGAGGUAGAGAAACAGUUGUGUAGGCUAGAGAGGUCGAGAGGGAGAGAGGGAAGAGUGGUUGAAACGCGAUGACGAGGGAGGGAUCAAGAGAAAGCUGAAAAAAGCAGUGAGUGAUAAUAGAUUGAGAGCAUACAGAUUGGUCCCUGGCAAUCUACUGAUAUAACAAACUAAUUUUAACUUACUGUACAAUGAGUAAAACAUAACAAACUGCAAAACCAAUGUAGAUAUAAAAAUCUAGAGAAUUUUAUGAUAUUACGUUUCAAAUCCAUACUUUGGUAAGAAUUUCUUGAGAUGGGAACAUAUUUUUUGCUGUCUCUGACCAUUCUGGCAGACCAUUU
RNAcentral lists this long non-coding RNA (379 nucleotides) under Carica papaya (papaya). RNAcentral's name for it is "long non-coding RNA (CPAP_LNC004009)". The record is from RNAcentral. Lineage: Eukaryota; Viridiplantae; Streptophyta; Magnoliopsida; Brassicales; Caricaceae.